RNAcentral lists this long non-coding RNA (349 nucleotides) under Hordeum vulgare. Its description in RNAcentral is "long non-coding RNA (HVUL_LNC011917)". The record is from RNAcentral. Lineage: Eukaryota; Viridiplantae; Streptophyta; Magnoliopsida; Poales; Poaceae.
GUUGAUGAAGCUCUGCGAGACAGCGAGGCAGGGGAUCGCGGGAGGAUGGACGCGCUGUCCUUUGAUGAUCUGUGAGGGAUAUCCUGCUAGUUGUUAACUCGUAUAUUUGGUCAAGUUCUAUGCGUGCGGUUUUGCUGUAUUACACACUGCUUUUCCCUGCUCUGCUUCGAUUAAUAGCUUUCAGGCUAUGGCAGUCGGUUCGAUGGCGAGCGGCUGUUCCAUAUAUGAGAGCUGGUAGUCUGCGAGAGCAUGUUGGCGCACCCAGUACUUCCUAUGUUUUUGUGUUGACAAAACUUUGUGGUACUGCUGUAUUUCCGUUCGAAGUAAUGGAAAGGGGUGUUAUGCUCGG